RNAcentral lists this long non-coding RNA (431 nucleotides) under Anser cygnoides (Swan goose). RNAcentral's name for it is "lncRNA (ENSACDG00005003260.1)". Lineage: Eukaryota; Metazoa; Chordata; Aves; Anseriformes; Anatidae. The record is from RNAcentral.
GUAUGUAUUAUGCUGAAUACCUUUACAGAUAUAAUUAAUAAAUAAUUAGAUUGUUAACUGCAGACUAUCAUUCCUACUUUUUAAUUUUGUCUAUCUCAUUUUAAAAAGCAAAUCAAAAAAGGUAACAACAAAUAAUUAAAAUAAAAAUGCUGACAUUUUAAUUUUGAAUGGCUAUGUUUUAUUUAGAAAUAAGAAUCUGAGCUGCACUGUGGUUUUGAAUGGCAGUAGAAUAGUCUAUCUUUUGUGUUUUGUCUGUUUUUAUCAAAGUAUAUUAUUAGAUCUCCUGCUAUACUACCCUGGACAACCGAAUGCUAAAUAGAUGUACUAAAAAUUAAAUGACAUCUGAGAACUUUCCAGGACAUCUGCAACAUGAUUUAGCAACAUCGAAGGAGGCAGCUGGAUCUGCUGGGAUCUCUGAAAUCAGGACAUGA